UUUUGGCUAGUGACUGCUUGCCUUGCGAUUAAGCUUGGUCGGUGGUUGUUAUCUGUGUGGUUUCGGGGAUGAUUACCGUAAAGGUGCAUGAGUGGUGUUUGGUUUGUUACGGGUGGUUGGCUCUUUGCUUGCGCAACAACUUCCACCUGGCAUACCUCUUCAGUUUUGUGUUAAUGACUGUAUCUCAUUGAACGCAAUGUGGGUUUCAUGUGUUGCAUGCCUAUUGAUGGUAUUGUACGAAGAAAUGAUGCUUUUUCGUCUUGUGUCGCACAUGUGAUGCGAGAUGAACCUUAAAGCAGCCUUUGUGCUCCACUUCUUUGAUGCACACGCAUUGAUUUUGUGGCUCACUAAGCGUUGGUUGGUAUCAUCGAUAUGGAAACCUUUGUGGGCAUGGGAUCUUUAAGUAGAUCCUUGUUUUGCCCUGGUUAAGCUUUUCAAAUACGAUUUUCCUAUCACGUCUUGACGUGGUAGGCUACAUCGAGUAUGAAUG
RNAcentral lists this unclassified non-coding RNA (490 nucleotides) under Rhodanthe corymbosa. RNAcentral's name for it is "partial external transcribed spacer". Lineage: Eukaryota; Viridiplantae; Streptophyta; Magnoliopsida; Asterales; Asteraceae. The record is from RNAcentral.